Long non-coding RNA from Papaver somniferum (opium poppy), 785 nucleotides. RefSeq lists it as uncharacterized. The record is from RefSeq and is a predicted model, not a curated record. Lineage: Eukaryota; Viridiplantae; Streptophyta; Magnoliopsida; Ranunculales; Papaveraceae. The transcript has 2 exons.
AUUGGGUGUGGUCGUUAGAACCCCGCUUUUUCAAUCUCCAACAACGAACACUAUUUUAGAGUAUGGUACUUCAUUCUAGUUCUAGCGGUUCAUCUUGGUAUUUUAAGUUCUUAUUUUUUGUGGUGACUUAAGAAUUCUAGUUCUAGCUGUGUCUUCAGCCUCUUUCUUCGUCGUGGACCCCAAAACUCAAAUCGCGCACGUCAUUUAGCCCCUUGACCUAUCUGGGUGGAGAUCUGUUGUUCUGAGUUACUGGUUCUUGCACAACAAACUCAGUCAGAUGUCAUUUCUUCACCAUAUCAUCAAUGAAUCUUAGCAUAUUUUUACACUCGUUUGUGUGGUGUCCAGUUGUUUCAUGUAUGACCUCUGAAGGUGCUUUCAACUUUGCAAAGUUCUUGGUUUCCUCCAUCCAUUUUGCUGCUAACUCAGCUCUGUAAUUUCUCCUUUGAAAGAAUUGAUUUGGUAAUCUCGGGGAAUAGGGCCUUUUAUCACCUGAAUGUUGCCCAGCUGAAUAAACUUUGUAGUUGGCUGCUUCAGGUGACAGUUCUUGGUCAUGUUCUUGCCUGACCCAUUUCCCAUCUUUAUGGUCAACCUCCUCAAGACAUUCUAAUGCUUUCUCAGAAAAUGAGUCUCUGAUUUUACCCUUAUGCAAAACAUUCUUGAAGAAUACACAGAGAAAUUUCUCUUCAGAUUUAUCCACAGGUGCUGCUGCUGAUUUAAAUCUCUAUAAGAAGUCUGUGAAACUUUCAUUUGGUUGUUGCGCAAUUCUGAAUAUAUUUUCUACAACA